This 77-nucleotide transfer RNA is filed under the name Actinomycetota bacterium. Its description in RNAcentral is "Actinobacteria bacterium tRNA-Met". It matches the Rfam family "tRNA". From Rfam's summary of the family: Transfer RNA (tRNA) molecules are approximately 80 nucleotides in length. Their secondary structure includes four short double-helical elements and three loops (D, anti-codon, and T loops). The record is from RNAcentral. Lineage: Bacteria; Bacillati; Actinomycetota.
GGCGGUGUAGCUCAGAUGGUCAGAGCACACGGUUCAUACCCGUGGGGUCAGAGGUUCGAGUCCUCUCACCGCUACCA